Cimex lectularius (bed bug) is the source of this 2477-nucleotide RNA transcript. It is a transcript of the gene named transmembrane protein 68, with no coding region annotated. The record is from RefSeq and is a predicted model, not a curated record. NCBI's taxonomy places the organism in Eukaryota, Metazoa, Arthropoda, Insecta, Hemiptera, Cimicidae. The transcript is spliced from 7 exons.
UAGUAGGUUUUAUAACUGUUAAACAUGGUAAAAAAGUUAUGUGAUAGUUUCACAAAGGUUUAACAAAAAACAAAAAGUUUUUUAUUCAUAAAAAAUAAUAUAGUGGACGUUCUAACACAAAUAAUGUAAAGUCGAAGCCAAACAAUCGUCAGACAAAUCAAUUUUGACCAUUGUUCAAUUUUAAUUUUAUCUUUAACUCCUUUCAUGUUUCUUUCCACCUCUAAAUUGCAUUCAAAUGUCAAACUUAAAUGUAAUCUUUUGAAUUUUUACAAAAAUUUACCACCUUUUUUGAACAAUUGGUAAACUUUUUACAGAACAUCCAUAGAAGUUAACAAUUUUUUGUUCUUCAUAUUUUGGUACACACCUAUAUAUAUAAGCCCAUCUGGAUGACAUUUUGUCAUUUAAGUGGCCAUAAAAUGAUAGAAAAUGUUUCAGACUAUAUCAGAUUAUUUGUACUCCUAUCUAAUCGAAUACAUAGACAUAGACUUCACUCUAUGGCUAUCAUGGAUGCUUAUGCCCCUUAUCCUCACAUUUCUUCUUCCAAUGGUAAUCCUUGCUCUUUUUUACACCACCGCUGUCAUCCUUUACGUUUACAAAUACUGGGAUCGCCUGAAAUAUGCUUAUGAAAAUGACUUUUGGGAUGGUGCCAGGAAGACAGUGGCAGCUUUGUGGGAUGCCCAUGGUUGGAUCUGGCAUGGCUAUGAGAUCCGUGGCAUGGAAAACAUACCGGAAGAUGAAGCCGUACUUUUUGUCUACUAUCAUGGAACACUUCCAGUCGACUUGUACUAUUUCAUUGCUCGAAUUUACCUGGUAACAAACAAAUUGAUUCAUACAGUUGGUGACAGGUUUCUUUUCAAUGUUCCUGGUUGGUCUAUCAUAUCAGAAGGGAUCAAGGUGAUCCCCGGGACUCUGCAGACAUGCUCUGCCAUCCUGAAAGAAGGAAAUUCACUUGCAAUUUCUCCUGGAGGAGUUUUUGAGGCUCAAUUUGGAGGUCCUGACUAUCGUUUGAUGUGGAAGAGGAGGCUCGGCUUUGCCAAAGUCGCCUUAGAUGCUAAAGUUAGCAUAGUGCCAAUGUUUACCCAAAAUGUUCGAGAGGCAUUUCGUAAUGUUACUUUCGGUAGGCGCAUUUGGCUAAAACUCUAUCUCAAAACACGACUUCCUCUUGUUCCUAUUUAUGGAGGAUUUCCUGUAAAGCUCAUAACUCAUGUCGGCAAACCGAUAAGUUAUAAUGUCUGUGAUGGCACUCCUGAGGAUCUUCAAAAGAUAGUAGCUAAAGCGAUUAGCGACCUCAUUGACACCCAUCAGAAACUCCCUGGAUCUAUUUUGAGAGGAGUUGUCGAGCGUGUUUACGCUACACCCAAACCGACUGAAUUAAUCAAAGAAGAUUAACGAGAAAGAAAAAAUUACUUUAAAAAAAAUUACUUUCACUGUUCAAAUGUUAAUAUAAAAGAAGCUUUUUCGUUGAUGAAAAAUAGUAGAGAAAAAAUAUCAAUAUCCAUAAAUGCAAGAAAUGACAUGUUCCUAUUGAUAUUUUAUUACUUAUUAGUGGCAAUGUGAAACUAUCGAACAGAACUGUGCGUUGUUGGCAAGGCUGAAAAAAAGUAACGAGUUUACUUUUAGCAUUUCAAAUAUGGAUUUAAAUUUUAUAAGGUAUUGUUAUUGAAAUCAGCCUUAAAAUGAAGUUAAAUAAUAUAACACCAGUUAAAUAAUAUAAUCAAGUAGUGCUUCCACUUAUAAGUGUGGUGAGUGAAGUGUUUUAAAUGUUAAUACUUGAUUUAUUUAGACCUUUUAGUACCAAUUAUUAUGGAACAAAUAAAAAAAGGCUGUUUUUUCUUUUUAAAAAAUUACUAACAACACUUAAACUUCAUACAGACACGCUCUCCUGGCUAAUGAAAUAUCAUUUAUGUAAUUUUAUAUUAUUAUUUUUAAUCACUUGUUGAGAUUUGGAAGAAGACAAUGAAUUAACUUUUUUAAAAAUAUUUAUUUGGGGUCAGUUUCUAGACUUUGUCUAUUCAAUGUGCAUCAUUUUAAUUAUAUUGUGAGAAUCGCUGCUUUAUUUUCUUCUUGCUUCAUGAUUAACAUAAUGUUACAAACAUAAAGGGGGUGUGUAAAAGGGUAAAAUAUGUAUUAAAAGAGAAUUUUGGUAGGGUUUAAUGUAAUUUUAAAUAAAUAAACUUUACUCUAAUACAAGAUAAACGUAUUACCUUGUGCUUUUGUAUAUAAUUAUAUCUAUUAUAGUACGUAUUAUAAAUUUAUAAAGUACUUACAAGGUAUACAUUCAUUGAUGUGUACUCAAAUGGUGAUUUUUGUAAAACUGGUGAUAUAUUGAGAUAAACAUUGUUGAAUAAAAAGUAGACUAACAAAUAAACAAAUAUUUUUCCUGUACACAAGAAAAAACAUACGAACAAUUUUGUAAAGUUGGUGAUCUGCUAAUGCAAUAUAGAGAAUAAAAGUAUAUUAAAUUGAAUAAACUUUUU